This is a long non-coding RNA of Manduca sexta (tobacco hornworm), 4443 nucleotides long. RefSeq lists it as uncharacterized. Lineage: Eukaryota; Metazoa; Arthropoda; Insecta; Lepidoptera; Sphingidae. The transcript is spliced from 2 exons. The record is from RefSeq and is a predicted model, not a curated record.
UUUCGUCUUGCCAAUAUUGAGCUCGGACAACUUAUCUAUUCGAAACACCGGCAUCAUCACAAUACUGUUCCAGAAGAAUGUGCAGAACACAUCAGUCCCUAAAAAUUUUAAGAUUGCGCUUGUAACAUUCAAUUCUUGCGCGCUCCGUCUUCACACCGAAUGCAUGCCCAUGCACAUUUGUCGCGGCCCUAGGCCCACAAUUCAGUGUGUAUACCUUGUGGUUGUAACUACACAGUGAGGCCUAUGAGGACUCGUGAAUCUUUUCCUUCUUCUCUCCUCUGCUCCUCUGCCCAGGGUUCCGAUCCUUCCCUCAACUCACUCCCAUUCUCCCCGGGGUCUUGCAGUCGAUGAGCCGAGGGGCUCCAGUCUCAUUCGCGGGUUCCCCCGGUGUAGAUUGCAGAGACGCCUAAAAAAACAAAGACGGUUUAGCCGUUUCGGAACAAUAAGAGUCUAGCAGGCAAAUUUUAUACAAAAAGAUGCUUGGUCCAAGCAUCAGUUUUUAAAGACAGUACAGACGGAGCCGUAAGCCACUAUUGGCAUUAUCACAACCAAUUCACUAUAAUACCUUUGUAGGUAUACGUAUCACAUAAUACAGAUAACAGCGAGUAUAAAGUCAAAGCGUACCGUACGACACACACAUAAAUUCCUGCUCGCGUUGAACUGCCGUGUACUAUCAGGUUCCGUGUCAUCCUCAGGACAGGAAAGACUUAAAGAAGCGUCACCAUGCUCACCGUCACCAGGAUUUGUUUCCUGCUUGUGCUGCUCGCGCUGUCACCCUACGAGUGCGCACCUUACAGUAGUAAAGAAAGUCUUUCCGCAAUAUCCAUUCACCACAACAAUGUAAAAGGAAGUAUACAGAUCAACUAUGAAGGUGCUCAUAACAACGUAAUUUGUGAUAAGAGAUAUGGAUGUAAUGACAUGGGUGAUGACUACUAAUAUUUAUAAUAACUCGUUAGUGCGGACGAAGAUUUGUUCUCUGCGUGAUUCAGCUAGGUGACGGAUCGAUGAAGCUAAGUUUUUUCAUCCUUAUCUACUUAAGAUUGUUUUUUUUAUAAUGUAAUAACCUAACCUAUUUUUGUUUCUAUAACACGAGAGUUACCAUUAAGUUUUGCUUCGCACUCCCGAAAACAUGUAACAUUUUUAUGAAAAAUUGACUACUUUGUUUCAUUGAAGUACAACUAUUUUCUGGAUAUUAUGUAUUAAGUAUUUUCUCCCGACGUUGUUUCAUUUUUACUAACUCUGUAUCAAUUAGAGAUUAAAAAAAAAAUGCCAUUUAUGAUUUUUGUAAAAAAACGUUUCAUCAGUGCGAAGUCGCAGUAAGAUAACCUUUACUCUUUAGAAUAUAAAAAUAUAUUAAAUAUUAUUUGUAUUGGUUAACAGUUGUGUUUUAUUAUUGCAAGUCUGCGCGGUGAAGAUGACCUCCCUAGUGGGUCAUAUUCGCCUUUACAUGGGAUAAUAAGCUAAUAAGUAAUUCAAAUGAAACUAUCUGAUUAUUAUAAUAAAUUUUGUAAUAAAAAAUAUUUUAUCACUUUAAGUUUGUUAAUCAUUAAAAAGGAAUAUGUUUUAAAAUUGCCAACUGUCAAAUAGUGAAAUAAAACCCGCCGUUGUCUAGUAACUAAGUGACAGAAUUGAUCUCAAUUCUCAGAAGUCAGAAUGCGCAUGACUUUUGGUAAGUUGUAUAUGUAUUCAAUGCUCAUGGUCUCUUGUAAGAGACAGCUGUGAGGGAUCCUACAAAUUAACAGUUUUUCUUAAUAAUAUAUUAUGCAACACUUCUCCUUUUUUAACCACAUCUGUUUUAUCUCAUUCUUUAUACCUCUAAUAUAUUUAUAUAUUGUUCAUGAAGACCCAAAAUUUAACCAAUACUAAAAUAAUGAGGUUACUUAUAAUUGUAGUAAAUAUAUUUGUAUUUUUAUUGCCAAAAUAUAUUUUUUAAAUAUCCGCAUUAAGCCGACCUGACGAACAUACGCCAUACAUAUCUCUGUAUUGUAGAGUGAUAGGCUAAUUGUCAAAAAAAUAUGUUCCACUACGACAGCAUAUCACAAUUAUUAUACCUACGUGUCAAAAUACUACACCACAGGGGCAAUGAUAUAACUCUGCAAUAAGCGAUGCAAAAGAGUAUAAAUACUGCGCUUAUAAUUUAAUUAUUUACUCAAGUCGAGCGUACAGUGAACACGUCAUCUCGCUUGGUGCUCCGACGCUAUGCUCACCGUCUGCCUGUACACGCUGUUUGUGCUUGCAUCCUUCUCCAUCAUCGAUGCAGCCCCAGUAGCAUCUCGAAAACGCGUCUUGGAUAAAAACAACAACGUGUAUAAUAUAAACAUCCAUCACAACAACGUAGAAGGCAAUAUUGAAGUUGUUUUACCAGAUUCUACCGACAAUGAUGCGUCAGAUGAUGGAAACCACGUAACCGCUGAUGAAACUGAGAAUAAUCAUCCGUACGGUAGCAGUUACUACCGUGAUGACCGUGGAAUACGAGGCAAUCGAUAUGGUGGAAGUAGUCAUCGUUCCAGUGGACAGAGUCUUCUGACCCCGCGCUGUCGUCCUCCCUCCCGGCGACCGUAAUGCCCUGUGCCAUACUACAGGAUUUAAGGCAUUUGCAUCUAGUGGUACCGAAUUUAGUAGACAAAACCUAAACCAAAAAUAACUAUACUAUUUAUCGGUAAUUUCUGUAUUUGAUUAUAUGCCCAUUAUUGACUACUUACUAACACUCAAGAAUUCUAAAUUUACGCAUAUUCAUAUGGCGCAAUCAAAACUAAUCUAAGGGCAUCACCCGUAAAUAUGACGAAAUGUAAACAAUCGUCGGGUUUACCAGCGUUGAUGCCCAUAUCUACGAAGCUAUAAAUAACGCGACAUACGCGAAGUUCCGGAGUCAAGUUUUGGAAGUGAGCCUGUCGUGUCGUUUGGUCCCUCGUUUCGUCAUCAUGGUAGCCGUCACCAGGCUCUGUCUACUGUUUGGGCUGCUUGUAUCCCUGACUAUUAUUGAAGGUUUACCACGCCGAGAAUAUUAUGUGGAUGAGUAUAAUAACGUGUAUUAUAUACACAUUCAUCAUAACGACGUAGGAGGAAAUAUUAUAGUUUCACCUCGUGGCAACGAUAAACAGAGAGAAAACAGUGAUUAUUCGAACGAGAAUUAUGAUAGAUAUCCUGGAAACGGACAUCUUCUACGACCACCUCCCUCGUCAUAUCGACCAUACAAAACUGCGCCGCGGCCGUAUUAUUAAGGUUAUUGAAUUACUCUGAAACUAUUAUUGCUAAAAUAAAUUCGUGUAUAAUAUAAUAAUUUUCUUGAGUUAUGUAUGUUAAGAUCUGAAAUGUGUGAGUGGACUUUCAUGUUAGUUAUUUGCGAUCACUUGACGCAUGGUUAAAAUACGAUAUCCUAGAAGAUUAGCAGAGAUGAGAGAUUGAGAUUCAAUAAAAAUGAUUGCUUUUUUUUUUGUAUAAAAUGUUAAAAAGCCACGAUGUAAUUGUCUUCAUGAUUUAAAAACUUUGUUUUACUUUACUCAAUAAAAACCUGUUAGCAGCUGUUAGUUUGUAUUUUAGUCUUUCAAAUCAGAAUACAUGAUGUUAAAAACAACAAAGUAACCAUCCACGCAAAUUAAAUCAAAAUACCAGACCGUUGACAUUAUAAUAUCUAAAUAUAAACAUGUUCAGGGACUUUACCAAGUCGUCACUAUCAGUGACGCUUCGAACAGCAGUUAUAAAUGCUUGUUAAUUUUAUUAAUUAUUACAGUAUAGUGUGGCCAGUUCGUGUCCUACUACGCGGUCAUCAUGUUUAAUGUCACCAGCCUGUGUCUCCUGCUCGUGCUCGCGCUGUCGACCAUCGACACCUCACCCAUAAUAGGUCAAGGAUACUUCACGGAUAAAUAUAACAAUGUGUACUAUAUACACAUUCAUCAUAAUGACAUCAAUGGAAAUCUUGAAAUAAGCUUACCGGAUGGCAGCAAUGUACCUGUUGAUACUUCUGAGGGUCAAUAUGUCCCCGGGCGUGAUUAUACAGGCGGAAGACGCGGCUUUUUCAGAGGAAGGCAGCAUAUCGGAGAUCGAGGAGUUUUUCGAGGAAGGCAUCACAGCUUUGGAGGACGAUGGGACCAUUACGGAGGUCCGGGAUUCGCUGGGCAUCAUCAAUUUCAUGGAUCCCCGCCUUUUGGAGGUUUUCGAAAAUCCGGGUUUCGACAUAAUUAUUCAUAAAACAGACCACAUCAAGAGCUUCUUGGGGUUUGGUGAAUAGAUUUUAUGAGACGAUAGAUUAGUGUUCAUUGGAACAUAUUUAGUUAUUAUUCAUGUUAACUAAUAUUCAGUCUUUUUGUACUCAUUUUUAAAUCAGCGAACUAGAUAGUUAGCAAAUAAAAAAUCAUGUUUGUAUUAAUGUAUUCAUUCGAAAGCAAUGUAUUAUAAUUAGUAUUUUAUGGCUUAUUUUAGUCAAAUAAAUGUAUUUUCAUGAAA